ACACUCCUACGGGAGGCAGCAGUGAGGAAUAUUGGACAAUGGGUGGAAGCCUGAUCCAGCCAUCCCGCGUGCAGGAAGACGGCCCUAUGGGUUGUAAACUGCUUUUAUCUGGGGAUAAACCUACUUACGUGUAAGUAGCUGAAGGUACCAGAAGAAUAAGCACCGGCUAACUCCGUGCCAGCAGCCGCGGUAAUACGGAGGGUGCAAGCGUUAUCCGGAUUUAUUGGGUUUAAAGGGUCCGUAGGCGGACUGAUAAGUCAGUGGUGAAAUCCGACAGCUUAACUGUCGAACUGCCAUUGAUACUGUUAGUCUUGAGUAAGGUUGAAGUGGCUGGAAUAAGUAGUGUAGCGGUGAAAUGCAUAGAUAUUACUUAGAACACCAAUUGCGAAGGCAGGUCACUAAGUCUUAACUGACGCUGAUGGACGAAAGCGUGGGGAGCGAACAGGAUUAGAAACCCGAGUAGUCCCAUGAU
RNAcentral lists this ribosomal RNA (472 nucleotides) under uncultured organism. RNAcentral's name for it is "partial 16S ribosomal RNA". It matches the Rfam family "Bacterial small subunit ribosomal RNA", at positions 333 to 801 of the family's 1533-position model. The record is from RNAcentral.